CAGGAUCAGCGCUGUCAAGGUAUGCCAGCAAACCUGGUGGCUAAAAGCAUUUAAAACCAGCGUAAAUACGCAUGCGGCUAAUGGAACAGAAACCAUCACAUUAGUGAAAUGCCACCAUCUUCAACAGAACCAUUCAAUAGAUGCACAUUAUCGCCUUCAGUAAAGCAGAGCUCCUGCCUAUAGCCAUUUCUUAAAGGAGUACUUAAUGAAGCUAAGGACUUCAGGAAGAAGAGUUGAUCCCACAGGAGUAUUGAGAUGUGUUGUGGUUUAUAGCAAAACCAAAGAACAAGUUUCUACCCAGCCUGCCUGCAGUGAGCAAAGGACAAGACAGCCCCCUUUUCCAGUACUGAUUUUGAUGGGGCAGAAUUUUGUGACAGCUUUCUAGAGAAAGGACUUGACUGAUAGAGGAUCACAGAAGCAUUUGCAAAGGGAUAGGAAGGGGGGGUGUAAGUGUACAAAUCCCACCUGAAGCCAAUGCAGUAAGAUGCCUUUGAAAACCUCUCUCCUGAAUCUCAACACUGUUACUCCUAAUCUGU
This is a long non-coding RNA of Pezoporus flaviventris, 536 nucleotides long. RefSeq lists it as uncharacterized. Lineage: Eukaryota; Metazoa; Chordata; Aves; Psittaciformes; Psittacidae. The record is from RefSeq and is a predicted model, not a curated record. The transcript is spliced from 4 exons.